RNAcentral lists this non-coding RNA (23 nucleotides) under Cricetulus griseus (Chinese hamster). Lineage: Eukaryota; Metazoa; Chordata; Mammalia; Rodentia; Cricetidae. The record is from RNAcentral.
AUUGCACUCCGGAUGUGCUGACC